UACGUAGGGUCCAAGCGUUGUUCGGAAUUACUGGGCGUAAAGCGCGUGUAGGCCGCUUGGAUAGUCGGAUGUGAAAGCCCUGGGCUCAACCUAGGAAGUGCAUUCGAAACUUCCAAGCUGGAGUGCUGGAGAGGAAAGCGGAAUUCUCGGUGUAGAGGUGAAAUUCGUAGAUAUCGAGAGGAACACCGGUGGCGAAGGCGGCUUUCUGGACAGUCACUGACGCUGAGACGCGAAAGCGUGGGGAGCAAACAGG
RNAcentral lists this ribosomal RNA (253 nucleotides) under uncultured bacterium. RNAcentral's name for it is "partial 16S ribosomal RNA". It matches the Rfam family "Bacterial small subunit ribosomal RNA", at positions 524 to 776 of the family's 1533-position model. The record is from RNAcentral.